AGAGUUUGAUCCUGGCUCAGGACGAACGCUGGCGGCGUGCCUAAUACAUGCAAGUCGAACGCUUCUUUCCUCCCGGGUGCUUGCACUCAAUUGGAAAGAGGAGUGGCGGACGGGUGAGUAACGCGUGGGGAAUCUGCCUUUGAGCGGGGGACAACAUUUGGAAACGAAUGCUAAUACCGCAUAAAAAUUUUAAACACAAGUUUUAAGUUUGAAAGAUGCAAUUGCAUCACUCAAAGAUGAUCCCGCGUUGUAUUAGCUAGUUGGUGAGGUAAAGGCUCACCAAGGCCACGAUGCAUAGCCGACCUGAGAGGGUGAUCGGCCACACUGGGACUGAGACACGGCCCAGACUCCUACGGGAGGCAGCAGUAGGGAAUCUUCGGCAAUGGACGAAAGUCUGACCGAGCAACGCCGCGUGAGUGAAGAAGGUUUUCGGAUCGUAAAACCCUGUUGUUAGAGAAGAACAAGGACGUUAGUAACGGAACGUCCCCUGACGGUAUCUAACCAGAAAGCCACGGCUAACUACGUGCCAGCAGCCGCGGUAAUUC
RNAcentral lists this ribosomal RNA (545 nucleotides) under uncultured bacterium. Its description in RNAcentral is "bacterial SSU rRNA". It matches the Rfam family "Bacterial small subunit ribosomal RNA", at positions 8 to 526 of the family's 1533-position model. The record is from RNAcentral.